This 5341-nucleotide long non-coding RNA is filed under the name Callithrix jacchus (white-tufted-ear marmoset). Its description in RNAcentral is "lncRNA (ENSCJAG00000086085.1)". Lineage: Eukaryota; Metazoa; Chordata; Mammalia; Primates; Cebidae. The record is from RNAcentral.
AUAAUAGAUUUUGAACAUCAGGUUAGAUGGAUGGAUAACCAGCCACAAUAAGAGUGUCCCUGGAUGUUUGAUAACUAAGGUUUUUCAAUACAAAACAGUCGCCUAGGCAGAGUGGGAGCUGUGUUCUCAGAUUGGAGUCUUCACAUGGCUCCCUGUUUUUUUUGAUCUUGAGAAGAAUUGGUAAGAAAUGUUUUAAUGCUUCUUCUUGUUUCUCUUUUUACAAGCUUUUCACAGAUGUCAACCAGCUCAAUAGAAGAUGAGACCAAUGACAAUAUCACAACACUUACCAGUAUGGGCUUCUGGAUGGCUGUGACAACAGACUUCAGCCUGGGCUGAGAGAUGCCGUUUGCACUGAGAAAGCCAAAGGCUGGAGGUUGGAGCACAGUAGGAUGCUGAACUUGGGCCCCAACUCUGCAGCAGCCCAGCCUUCACCUGGACAAAUGGAGAAAUGGAAGCGUUCUGGGAGGCAUGCAUGUUCCUGUGUAUCCACUAUACUUCUCUCUCGAUGCACAUCUUUCUUCAGGCCAGGCUGGGCGUGGUGACUCACAACUGUAACCCUGCACUUCGAGAGGCUGAGGCGGUCGGAUUACCUGAGCUAGGGAGUUCGAGACUAGCCUGGGCAACACAGCGAAACCCCAUCUCUGCUAAAAUACAAAAAAUUAGCCCGGUGUGGUGGCAUGUGCCUGUAGCCCCAGCUACUUGGGAGGCUGGGGCAGGUGAAUUGCUUGAACCGGGGAGGUGGAGGUUGCAGUGAGCAGAGAUCGAUGCACUGCACUCCAGCCUGGGUGACAGAGUGAGACUGUCCUCCCCAAAAAUAAAAAUAAAUAAAAUGCAUGUCUAGGUGUUCUUGUCUUAUCACAGAAAUACAUGCUUGUAUUGAGUGUAAGUUGGCAUAAAGAAAUGUUAAUAACUCCCCCUGCACAUGUACAGUUUCAUGUCUCUUGCUACUGCACUGGUGAAACUGAUGGAGCCUUCUUCCCUCAUGUCCUUUCACACGUUGAUAGGACCUGGCUGAGUGUAAUUAUAAUGUGAUGUUAUUCUGAAUUGUGUGCUACAUUCACAUUUGGGAUUUUCAUUUUUUAUUUCCAGAAUGGUUUUACACGUGGAAAAUGGAAUCCCAUUUUGCUGUCAGCCUACAACCACUCUUUUUUUUGUUUUAGUCUACAACCACUCUUAAUCCUAAAUGGGUCUUGUAGGGUAGGACUUAGAAGGCCUUUUUGUUUGUUUCUGCAAUAUUUUCUACCCUAUGGACUGUGAGUAUUGGUUACAUUAAUUAAAUGACAAGUGCUCACCGUAGAGUGCUGGCUUUUUGUCCACUGGCAUAAAUUAAAAGGAAGGAACGGUCAUGUCAACAGGAUUUUUCUCGAAGGUGGUUGCCAUGGAUGAUUUUUGAAGGCAAGAUGUGAAAGUGAUGGCUUGAAGUGGGAGAUUGAAGUCUCUCUUUUAUUUAUUUUAUUUUAGUUUUAGUUUUUUAUUAUACUUUAAAUUCUAGUAUCUACAUAUGCAGAUUGUGUAGGUUUGUUAUAUAGGUAUACAUGUGUCGUGGUGAUUCUCUGCAUCCAUCGCCACAUCAUCUACUUUAGGUAUUUCUUCAAAUGCUAUCCCUCUCCAAUCCUCCCACCCCCUGCUAUUCCUCCCCUAGCCUCCCAUUCCCCAGGCCCUGGUGUGUGAUGUUCCCCUCCCUGUGUCCAUGUAUUCUCAUUGUUCAACACCCACUUAUGAGUGAGAUCAUGUGUUUGGUUUUCUGUUGUUGUGUAGUUUGCUGAGAAUGAUGGUUUCCAGUUUCAUCCAUGUCCCUGCAAAGGACAUGAACUUUUAUUUUUUAUGGCUGCAGAGUAUUCCAUGGUGUAUAUAUGCCACAUUGUCUUUAUCCAGUCUAUCAUCGAUGGACAUUUGGGUUGGUUCCAAGUCUUUGCUAUUGUGAACAGUGCCACAAUAAACAUAUGUGUGCAGGUGUUUUUAUAAUAGAAUGAUCUAUAAUCCUUUGGGUUUAUACUCAGAAAUGGGAUUGCUAGAUCAAAUGGUAUUUCUAUUUCUAGAUGUUUGAGGAAUUGCCACGCUGUCUUCCACAGUGGUUGAACUAAUUUACACUCCCACCAACAGUGUAAAAGUGUUUCCAUUUCUCCACAUCCUCUCCAGCAUCUGUUGUCUCCUGAUUUUUUAAUGAUCACCAUUCUACCUGGUGUGAGGUGUUAUCUCAAUGUGGUUUUGAUUUGCAUUUCUUUAAUGACCAGUGAUGAGCAUUUUUUCAUAUAUUUGUUGGCUGCACAGAUGUCUUCUUUUGACAUGUGUCUGUUCAUAUUAUUUGCCCACUUUUUGAUGUUUUCUUUUUCUUGUAAAUUUGUUUAAGUUUUUUUGUAGAUUUUGGAUAUUAGCUCCUUGUCAGAUGGGUAGAUGGCAAAAACUUUUCCCCAUUCUGUUGGCUUCUGGUUCACUCUAUUGCUAGUUUCUUUUGCUAUGCAUAAGUUCUUAAGUUUAAUUAGAUCCCAUUUGUUUAUUGAGGCUUUUGUUGCCAUUACUUUUGGUGUUUCAGUCAUGAAGUCCUUACCCAUGCCUAUGUCCUUUAAGGUGUUGCCUAGGUUUUCUUCUAGAGUUUUUAUGGUGUUAGGCCUCAUGUUUAAAUAUUUAAUCUAUCUAGAAUGAAUUUUUGUAUAAGGUGUAAGAAAGGAAUCCAGUUUCAGCUUUCUGUGUAUGGCUAGCCAGUUUCCCCAAUGCCAUUUAUUAAAUAGGGGAUCCUUUCCCCAUUGCUUGUUUUGUCAGGUUGGUCAUAGAUCAGAUGGUUGUAGUUGUGUGGUGUUCUUUCUGUUCUGUUCCAUUUGUCUAUAUCUCUGCUUAUUUGCAGGCUUAGUCAUUGUUCUGCCGGGAAAUAAACCAGAGCUCUGUCUUUCAAAUAUUUCUUUUUUUCAUGGGUUUCAAUGACUGGGAGUGUUAGUGGUGCUAAAAAUCCAAGGAUUGAAGGGGCCAUUCAUUAUCUUCAGCCUCAGUGAGUUCACUGAGUCCAUUUACCACCCUUCAGUGUUGAUGGGGAAAAACAAUGUUCUCCCCCCACCAGAAAAAUGAGAAUGGACUUUUCACAUCCUAUCAGACCUUUGCCAAUAUUUUUGUUUGUUUGUUUGUUUUCAGAUGGACUCUCGCCCUUGUCACCCAGGCUGGAGUGCAGUGGUGUGAUCUGGGCUCUCUGCAAUCUCUGCUUCCCAGGUUCAAGCAAUUCUCCUGCCUCAGUGCCUGAGUGGUUGUGAUUACAGGGACCCAGCACCAUGCCUGGCUAAUUUUUUUAGUUUUAGUAGAGAUGAGGUUUCACCAUGUUAUCCAGGCUGGUCUCUAACUCCUGACCUCAAGCGAUCAGCCUGGCUUGGCUUUCCAAAUGCUGGGAUUACAGGCAUGUACCUGGCCAACAAUAUUUGUAAGAAAACAAUUCUGCACUUUGCAGAGACAGUCUGGAAUGUAAUUUCAACUCCAAUACAAACCAAACCAUCCUUUAAACGUAGCCAUGUAAUUCCUUAAUCUGGAGAAACUGUCUAUCUGGAUGUGACUAUCUUAUACAUUCACAUUCUCCUCAGUUUUGUCUCUGACAGUGUUUUUAACCUAUUAAGCAAGUAAGUAGUUAUCAAGUAAAAUUUUCCUUUGGUUUUUUUUUUUUUGUACUGAAUUAAAACAAAUAAUUGGGUUGUUAAAGGAAUAGAGAAUAGUAAUGAAUACCUGUCCACUAAAGAAUAUAUCUUGUACUAUGUAUAUUUUCUCAUCUCUUACCUAUAUCACACCAUAAUGAGGUUUAGAGCACUAAGGUUUAAAAGAUUCACCACAAGUCACUUUUUGAACUCUCUAUUCUCUCAAAUAUUAUCUUUGAUGUAGUCCUAGAGUGACAGCUUUUGAUCCCAUCGGGGUUAACCAUGGUACCUGCGAGUCACAUUUUCAGGGAGUAGAAAAUGAAUUCUGACUUCAUCACAUCCCUUUUGAACAAGUACAGGCUUGCUAACAUUUAGCAUAAGAUAAAAGACACUGUUCCUUUUAAUUAUUGUUUCCGAAAUACCACAAAGGCAAUUGUAAGAUAGGCAAUAUUGCCUUAAAUUGCCUCUCAUGUGAUUUUCAUGGAUUUUGAACAUUUUCUAAAGAAGACUUUAUCUGGGGAAAGAAAUCCAGCCUUGUUUUGAGAUACUAACCCACACAGGCUGCCAGGUAAAAUAUAGCACAAGCAGGUAAACUUGAAUUUCAGAUUUGUAUAUAAUGUGGGGGACAUACACUCAAAUAUUACUCUGGCAGCUCUACACUGGGGGCAUUGUGAAGAGGGCAGUGGAUAAAACCAGGGCCCUGGAGGCUAUCAGAGGAGAAGGUGAGAUUCAUCAGCUUUCUCUGAGGGCCCCUAGGGCAGGACCCAUCAGGAGCCUUAUGGUCUGAGGGUCAGUCUGCACUGUCCCUGUUUAAAUGUUUUAUUAAAAUGCAGCCACACCCAUCUGCUGAUGGACUGUUCACUGCUGCUUCCACACCUCUAUGGCAGAGUUCACAGUGUAGCCUACAGGGCCUGAAUACUUACUAAGUUGACCUUUACAGAAAACAUUUACCAACUUCUGGCUUCGAACAAGGUCUUGAAAUGACAAUUGAUGUCCUAGAUCCUUGCUAAUUCCCAUCUAUGAAGCCAUGCCUCUUUCCAUAGGCAUGUGCAUAUUAUAAAGCUGAAAACAUUGUGAUAUUAAAUCAGUAAUAUGUCACACAAUUAAUACAAUAAUGCUACUUAAAACAAUUAAAGUUAUUUUGAAAAUAUUUCAAAUGUUAGCAUUUGUGUUUCAGAAUUUAGAAUAGCCUUGUGGCGAGCUUCUGUUUGUCAAUACGAGGGAGCAGAUCAAGCAGUUGUUUAAUUUUCAUUUGGAUAACUAUGGUUUUAGAAGAAUGAGGAUAUUGUAGAAUUAAUCUCCAAUGAGUAGAAAGAAAGCUGGGUUUGCAAACUCUAUAAUGUGCCAUCUAGGAGCUGGAAGUAAGCAUUUGGUUGAAAGGCAGUCUUUUAUUCUGAGGGAAAUCAACAUGUUCCUGGGGCCCUGUCUUGACCCCUUUUGGUGAUGGUAAGGCAGCUACGAGAGACAGGUCUCUGCUGUGAGGUCAUCUCAUGUGGCCGAGGCAAGAUGUUGGCAGAAGCAAGAUAAAUUUCACUCAGAAGCUCACCGGUUUCAAAAUACAGUCUGCAAAUAAAAAAUAAAGAGAAGACAAUUUUUCUUACAACCUAUCUAUAAAAUGUAUGUGUUUAUUUUGCACAGUAUAGAGCAUCAAAAGAGGUGAAAGACUUAGUGCUAUCAUAACUGGCAGGACAUUCAGCUGCCAGAACUCUACAGCUCAGCUGCUAUUGACUAAC